AGCGAACGCUGGCGGCAGGCUUAACACAUGCAAGUCGAACGGGCAUCUUCGGAUGUCAGUGGCAGACGGGUGAGUAACACGUGGGAACGUACCCUUCGGUUCGGAAUAGCUCAGGGAAACUUGAGCUAAUACCGGAUACGCCCUUUUGGGGAAAGGUUUACUGCCGAAGGAUCGGCCCGCGUCUGAUUAGCUUGUUGGUGGGGUAACGGCCUACCAAGGCGACGAUCAGUAGCUGGUCUGAGAGGAUGAUCAGCCACACUGGGACUGAGACACGGCCCAGACUCCUACGGGAGGCAGCAGUGGGGAAUAUUGGACAAUGGGCGCAAGCCUGAUCCAGCCAUGCCGCGUGAGUGAUGAAGGCCUUAGGGUUGUAAAGCUCUUUUGUCCGGGACGAUAAUGACGGUACCGGAAGAAUAAGCCCCGGCUAACUUCGUG
This 435-nucleotide ribosomal RNA is filed under the name uncultured bacterium. Its description in RNAcentral is "partial 16S ribosomal RNA". It matches the Rfam family "Bacterial small subunit ribosomal RNA", at positions 29 to 507 of the family's 1533-position model. The record is from RNAcentral.